Molecule: long non-coding RNA, 313 nt
Filed under: Vitis vinifera (wine grape)
Lineage: Eukaryota; Viridiplantae; Streptophyta; Magnoliopsida; Vitales; Vitaceae
Description: long non-coding RNA (VVIN_LNC000876)
Source: RNAcentral
CUAUUUUGGUCUUCUACUCUCAAUCUAUUUUCGUCAGCCUUGCUUCCUUUGGUUUGUCUUUCAGUCUCCACAAUGACUACACGAAGAACACUUGAAAAAACCGUGUCGCAUGUGCUUGAACUUGUUGAUAAAGUCAGCAAGAAACCUGUGGAUCCCGACAAGAAACCUGUGAACCCUAUCUAUGACGAAAUAAAAAAGUGGUUCGAAGAAAACAAAGACUUGUUUCCUAAACUGAAGCACUUUGAGGACGAGCUGAAGAGCAAGAUUGCCGAACUUGAACAAGCUAUCGACAAUGCUGUAUAUGAUGAUGGCA